AGUGAACGCUGGCGGUAGGCCUAACACAUGCAAGUCGAACGGCAGCACAGUAAGAGCUUGCUCUUACGGGUGGCGAGUGGCGGACGGGUGAGGAAUACAUCGGAAUCUACUUUUUCGUGGGGGAUAACGUAGGGAAACUUACGCUAAUACCGCAUACGACCUACGGGUGAAAGCAGGGGAUCUUCGGACCUUGCGCGAUUGAAUGAGCCGAUGUCGGAUUAGCUAGUUGGCGGGGUAAAGGCCCACCAAGGUGACGAUCCGUAGCUGGUCUGAGAGGAUGAUCAGCCACACUGGAACUGAGACACGGUCCAGACUCCUACGGGAGGCAGCAGUGGGGAAUAUUGGACAAUGGGCGCAAGCCUGAUCCAACCAUACCGCGUGGGUGAAGAAGGCCUUCGGGUUGUAAAGCCCUUUUGUUGGGAAAGAAAAGCAGCAGGUUAAUACCCCGCUGUUCUGACGGUACCCAAAGAAUAAGCACCGGCUAACUUCGUG
This 492-nucleotide ribosomal RNA is filed under the name uncultured bacterium. RNAcentral describes it as "partial 16S ribosomal RNA". It matches the Rfam family "Bacterial small subunit ribosomal RNA", at positions 29 to 507 of the family's 1533-position model. The record is from RNAcentral.